GAAUUGCGAUAUGUAAUGUGAAUUGCAGAAUUCAGUGAAUCAUCGAAUCUUUGAACGCAUCUUGCACUCUUUGGUCUUCCAAAGGGUAUGCCUGUUUGAGUAUCAUUAAUAUGAUCAAUACAAAUCAAAUCAAUCAAAUCAACUUGAUACUUGAUAUGUACUUGGAUGUUGAAGGUAUGCUGGCUUUGCGGUUAGCUCCUUUUAAAUAAAUUAGCAGAACCAUUUAGGACUGGCUUCAGUUUGAUAAUGAUGAGCCUUUAUCGAUGCUGUUGCUUGUUAUUUUUGUUCCGCUGAUAAUUGUCCUUUUGGACUGUCUUUUUAAAGACAUUUAAUUCUUUAACUGAUCUCAAAUCAGGUAGGAUUACCCGCUGAACUUAA
RNAcentral lists this unclassified non-coding RNA (378 nucleotides) under uncultured fungus. RNAcentral describes it as "sequence contains ITS1". The stretch from base 1 to 105 matches the Rfam family "5.8S ribosomal RNA", at positions 50 to 154 of the family's 154-position model. The record is from RNAcentral. Lineage: Eukaryota; Fungi.